GAUGAAGAACGUAGCGAAAUGCGAUACGUAAUGUGAAUUGCAGAAUUCAGUGAAUCAUCGAGUCUUUGAACGCACAUUGCGCCCCCUGGUAUUCCGGGGGGCAUGCCUGUCCGAGCGUCAUUGCUGCCCUCAAGCACGGCUUGUGUGUUGGGCCCCGUCCUCCGAUCCCGGGGGAUGGGCCCGAAAGGCAGCGGCGGCACCGCGUCCGGUCCUCGAGCGUAUGGGGCUUUGUCACCCGCUCUGUAGGCCCGGCCGGCGCUUGCCGAUCAACCCAAAUUUUUAUCCAGGUUGACCUCGGAUCAGGUAGGGAUACCCGCUGAACUUAAGCAUAUCAAUAAGCGGAGGA
RNAcentral lists this unclassified non-coding RNA (346 nucleotides) under soil metagenome. Its description in RNAcentral is "partial contains 5.8S ribosomal RNA, internal transcribed spacer 2, and large subunit ribosomal RNA". The stretch from base 1 to 120 matches the Rfam family "5.8S ribosomal RNA", at positions 35 to 154 of the family's 154-position model. The record is from RNAcentral.